This 29-nucleotide non-coding RNA is filed under the name Mus musculus (house mouse). Lineage: Eukaryota; Metazoa; Chordata; Mammalia; Rodentia; Muridae. The record is from RNAcentral.
UAACAUGACUUCAAAGACCAGGCUCUUCC